RNAcentral lists this ribosomal RNA (467 nucleotides) under uncultured bacterium. Its description in RNAcentral is "partial 16S ribosomal RNA". It matches the Rfam family "Bacterial small subunit ribosomal RNA", at positions 28 to 506 of the family's 1533-position model. The record is from RNAcentral.
GACGAACGCUGGCGGCGUGCUUAACACAUGCAAGUCGAACGGAAAUGCCCUGCUUUUGUGGGGUGCUCGAGUGGCGAACGGGUGAGUAACACGUGAGUAACCUGCCCUUGACUUUGGGAUACCUUCAUGAAACUGGGGCUAAUACCGGAUAGGAGCUCCUGCUGCAUGGUGGGGGUUGGAAAGUUUCGGCGGUUGGGGAUGGACUCGCGGCUUAUCAGCUUGUUGAUGGGUUAGUGGCUUACCAAGGCUUCGACGCGUAGCAGGUUUGGAAGGGUGACCGGCACCAGUAGAAAAGUGAUCCGGCGCAGGCUAGUACGGGACGCAGAAAGGAGGAAUAUCUGACCAGGGACGAGAGCGUGAGGCAGGUACGCGGCGGGUGGGAGGAUGGCCUUAGGGUUGAACACCGAUUUCACAUGUAACGACAUGGUAGGGCCGGAAAUAGGUAAAAAGGCACUGGUUAAUAAGGU